RNAcentral lists this unclassified non-coding RNA (1558 nucleotides) under Hevea brasiliensis (rubber tree). The record is from RNAcentral. Lineage: Eukaryota; Viridiplantae; Streptophyta; Magnoliopsida; Malpighiales; Euphorbiaceae.
AAUUAAAUCCUAAAUAGAGUUGGAAACUUCAUAAAUUAAUCUAGCUUGGAUAGUGGACCACACAACCUAAAUAGUAAGAGUUCCAGGUGAAUCAGGACUUUUGGACAAGCAAUUUACCCAAAAAAAAAAAAAAAUGGCAUCUUUCAUUGCUGGAUAGUGGACCACACAACUUGGGCGUGUACUAUUCUGUGUCCAAGUUCUGCCAAUGGAUUGCUUUGCAAAGGAGGGCCGAAUCACAAGUUGUUGUACUCUUUAAACACCCACCAUGAUAUUGCAGGUUCCUCCUGUUCAAGCCUGCGAACCAUAGUUGAGCCUCUCCCAUCAAAUGAAAGGCAGCUAGGUUAACCUUGUCCUCCUCCGAAGUACACUGGUUAUGCAAGAAUUGUUUGCAACUGUUGAGCCAUCCUAGCGGAUCGUUGGAACCAUCAUACCAAGGGAAGUCAAGUUUCGUAUGUCUAGGCACUGUACGCCCCUCCGUCCUGCUCGUCGUUUUGAUUGACAAAAUUCUGCUGGCUGCUACUAGUCCCAUCUUGGUUCAUUCCCCUUUUGAUAGUUCGAACGAGCUCAGAUAAUUUCUGAGCCAAGUCUUUGAAUUGAGCUUCGGAUUGUUGCAUUAAAGUAUUUAGCUUCUCUUCCAAAUUGGUUGGUUCACCCAUGACGACUGGCUCUAAUACCAAGUUGUUAUGUGCCCUCGAAUAGGAUCUCAUCACAAGUUGUUGUACUUGGAUACCUUCUGAGGAAACUGUCUUGCCUUUGUUCACGUUCCUGCUUUUUCUUGAAGAACUUAUUGUGAACACUAGUUGAGGGCUUGUUAGAGAGAACCUUCUAAUCUCAUAAGGCAAGUUUAAAUGAAUGCUGCUUAUUUUCUUUCUUCAUAAUCAGUCCCCUUUUGUAGAGAGGUUACAACAUUACAAGAAACAAGGCUUCCUAACGAUACGAAAAUUACAUCAUAACAACAAAUUAAAAUUUAAAAAUCUGAAAACAUGAAUUAAGGCUUGAAAUGCGGAUUCUGGAGCAGGUCCCUUGAUAACUGGUCCCUUGAUAACAGCUCCCUUGAACCCUGAAACUGAAAACAUGACAGCAAUCAACUUAAUCGACAAUCUGAUCUGCUAGCACAUUUUCCCUCCUUGUUGCUGAGCGUCGGCCAUAGGAUCUGCCCACAAAGGCAUCCACAACACCCUGCUGGAACAUGCCAAAAUGCUCCGCAUCAGAAAUAGACAAUACUUAACAUUAACAUCUUAAAUAAAUGAAUGGACUUGGAUAAAUUUGGGAAAGAGUGGAAGUUCAGUUGCACAUUAAAUUUUUGUUUAGAAUGAUUAGUGUGAAAUAGUGAGAAGGGCUAUUUUGUCUAUGUUGUAUUUGUAUAUACAAUGCAUGGUUCCAUGUCCUUUUUUGCAUCCAUGUAGACAACCGUUUGCUCAUAUUUUUUCCAGGGUUUAGUAUGAGUUCGUUGUGGGGUUAACAUGAACAAACAUUUAUUUGGUGUGGUAUAUAUUUACUUCCAUUGGACUUUGUCAUCUUUCUGGCCUGUUUCAGCUUGUUUUGGAAGGUGUGAGGG